RNAcentral lists this ribosomal RNA (276 nucleotides) under uncultured bacterium. RNAcentral's name for it is "partial 16S ribosomal RNA". It matches the Rfam family "Bacterial small subunit ribosomal RNA", at positions 15 to 291 of the family's 1533-position model. The record is from RNAcentral.
GAUCAUGGCUCAGGAUGAACGCUGGCGGCGCGCCUAACACAUGCAAGUCGAACGAGUAAGACGCCUUCGGGCGUGGAUAGAGUGGCGAACGGGUGAGUAACACGUGACCAACCUGCCCCCUCCUCCGGGACAACCUCGGGAAACCGAGGCUAAUACCGGAUACUCCGGGCCCCCCGCAUGGGGGCCCGGGAAAGCCCUGGCGGGAGGGGAUGGGGUCGCGGCCCAUCAGGUAGACGGCGGGGUAACGGCCCACCGUGCCUGCAACGGGUAGCCGGG